UUAUACUCAAUCAUACACAUGACA
Molecule: non-coding RNA, 24 nt
Filed under: Arabidopsis thaliana (thale cress)
Lineage: Eukaryota; Viridiplantae; Streptophyta; Magnoliopsida; Brassicales; Brassicaceae
Source: RNAcentral